This is a long non-coding RNA of Heterocephalus glaber (naked mole-rat), 284 nucleotides long. RefSeq lists it as uncharacterized. The record is from RefSeq and is a predicted model, not a curated record. NCBI's taxonomy places the organism in Eukaryota, Metazoa, Chordata, Mammalia, Rodentia, Bathyergidae.
AAGUAGUAUACUCAUGGAACGCUAGAGUUGGAAGAAACUUCGGAAGUCAUUCUGGCCUACAGAUUGAACAGGGAAAGAAAGGAAAGAAGAAUGAAGAAAGGAAAGAAGGAAGGAAAGAAAGAAGAAAAAAAAGAGAAAAGAAAGACAAUUCUAUAAUGUUGUUCCUCAACAUUUGAGUGGACAGCUAAAUCUGAAGAGACACCAAGUUUGCAAAAGCCCUUGAAGAUGAAGAGAUUUGUCCUUUUCUUCUCUUGUGCUUGCUAAUUUUUAUUUUGUGACAUGGC